Molecule: ribosomal RNA, 106 nt
Filed under: Panagrolaimus sp. AS01
Lineage: Eukaryota; Metazoa; Nematoda; Chromadorea; Rhabditida; Panagrolaimidae
Description: partial 28S ribosomal RNA
Rfam family: Eukaryotic large subunit ribosomal RNA
Source: RNAcentral
UAUGAACUCUAUUCAAAUAUGAUCACUCGCUGAACUUAAGCAUAUCAGUAAGCGAAGGAAAAGAAACCAACAGGGAUUACCUUAGUAACGGCGAGUGAAAAAGGGC